Molecule: non-coding RNA, 1263 nt
Organism: Manis javanica (Malayan pangolin)
Lineage: Eukaryota; Metazoa; Chordata; Mammalia; Pholidota; Manidae
Source: RefSeq, a predicted model, not a curated record
GGAAAGUGAAAAAGAUAACAUUUGUAUGCUCUGUGUUCAGGAAACCAGAAGGAACAUAUUUGGCUGAGACUGGAGUACAUGGAAAGAUAAGGCUGAAAAGAUAGGCAGGAACCAAGCCAGUUAUACCAAACUCCCACCACUUACUGGGCAGCCCAGAGCUGGAACCAUCCUGACUUUAUGGGGCUUCUUUUCGUGUCCCCUAAAAUGAGAUGUAUGAGUGUCUUCAGGGGAAAAUCUUGAGUAAGACUCCUAUCCAUUCCUUUGCUUCCCCUUCAGGAAAUCAUAAUUAAUAUCUACCCUCAAUUCUUCCUGCUGCAGGGUCAUUCUGUUGGCUGCCCCCAAAGCCAGGCUCCUGUCUUAUCUCUCCCUCCUACUGAAUACGUACUGCGUUCCUGCACUUUGUGGUGCUGGUGUGUGAGGCAGGUGCUUGGGAAAUAGUUGUUGCUAUUGCCCUACAGCCCAUGUCGGAGCUCAGCUUGGUGGGAAGGACCUGUCUGUCCUUAGCUCUGUGGAUGGCAGUGUGGACCCACAUUAACCCCAGUGACCCUGGCCCUACCUGCAGACUGAAGACUGACAGCACUCAAUUUCAAAUUGGCUCAAUCAAUCAUACACUCAAACAUAUACAAUCAUAGCCCAAAGCAUCCUUCCAGCCCUCAAGCGAGAAAAAGGCAAAGCAAAAACAUGCACAAACUCACUAGGAAUUGUAUAAAGCCAAGUAAAAACCAGAUGAAGUACCAUUUUUACACCCAACCAUCUGACAAUGCCAACGGUUGGCAAGGAUGAGGAGCGAGGAAACUCUCCUGUGCACCUGCGAAUAUAAAUCGGCCCAAACAUUUUAUAAAACAGUUUGGAAAUUUCUAGUAAAACUAAAGAUGCCUAUACCCUGGGACUCAGCAGUUCCACUCCCAGGUUCACACCUGCAAAGACCCUAGAAAAUGUGUACAAUAUCAUACCAGCACUGCUUGUAGUAAUAACAAAAAAUUGGAAAAGCCCUUUCAUAUCUACCAACAAGAAAAUGGAUAAAUUAUGGUAUAUUCAUACAUAUAAGUUGUACAUUCAUAUUACAUAUAAGAAGGCAUUUGUAAGUGGUGGAAAUUAGUUGACCUACACAUAACAAUAUGGAUGAAUCUUAAUGUUAGGUGAAAAAAGCAACUUGCAGAAUAUAUGCCCUCUAGAAGCACUUUUCUAAAGCUCAUAUAUGCAGAAUACCAGAACAUAGUGCCUAGGGCUACAUGAAUAUGUAAUAAAAGCAUAUAGAAAUGA